AUGAGGAAACGCCCCUUCCCUAAGGCCUUCGCGGCGAACCUUCCCUCACGUGCUCAGGAGUGUGUCUGGGUCCCCCUGCUCAGCCCCGGGCCCCUUCGGAGGAAGGGGACGGAGACCUGGGGGCCCCCGGGAGGCCCUUGCCUUAUCAAGCCUCGGCUACGGUCGGGCGCAGAGGAGCGUGUGCGCUCUGGACGGCCCGCGCAGCAGGGGGUAAUCACGUGCGCUCUGUGCCUCCGAGCUCAUGCGCAGAUACCUCCCCGGGCCUGUCUCGCUCCCUCCCUCCCUUUUACGUCACUUCCUCCCAAUCCCCCUACGUCACUUCCGAGGGUUCUGCGUCUGCCUCGUCAGGUUCACCAUCACAGCGCCGCUUCAUCUUCAGCCGCCCCCCUCUGCUGCCGGAGCCCUUCGUCCUGGCCCGGGCUCUGCCUGUAAGAACUGCCCUUUCCCAAAGCAGGAAGGACCAAGGAGGAGGAAGAGGAAGAAAUGGUUCCUGUGUGCCUGACGGCUGGGGCUCUGGGGGUGAGUUUUCGUCACGUGCGGUGGCCACAGUGGCCUGGGCCUGAGAGUGUGAACUUGUCUUUCCUGUGGCCUGGAGCUUCAGAAAUUGGAGCCGUCCUGGGUUUAGAGAGGGAAGGCAGGGUAGAGAUCAUGGGGUCCAGCCACCCAUUUUACAGGAGAGGAGCCUGAGGCCCUGAGUGGGGCAGAGACUUUUCACACAGCUGGGAAACUGGCCAGUUUUCUGGAGGGACUGGCCAGGUGAAGAGGACCAGGAGGAAGCUGGCUGGGAGGACAACGUGCCCAGCUAUGAGCGUGUCCAGUAGGGGACUGAGCCUCUUCAGAGGUGUGGCAGCUGGCACCUCCUCUUUCCCCUGCAGCUCCCACCCCACUUACCAGAGACUUGGACACAGGCUGGAAACGGUCAAGCCCAAGAUGCUGGGAUUCUGAGCAGAGCAGCCAGUAUUGGCUUCUAGGUGAUUCCUGUCAAUCCAAGAUGAACUGCCAGGUAUUUGUCAAUCCAGCACUUUCCUGGAUAGUUUUAAGUUCUCCCCUAGUCAGUGGAUAUGUAUCAUCUUGGGAAGUCUUAGAUUUUUCCCUUUAUGUAUAACUCUUUUCUGCUUGGGGGAGCUAAGGGAUUAGACCAGAGGUGCUGGCUGGGCUGGGCAGCCAGCGUCAGGGUUGGCCCUUAAUAAAAAAAAAAAAAAGGACA
Molecule: long non-coding RNA, 1207 nt
Filed under: Phascolarctos cinereus (koala)
Lineage: Eukaryota; Metazoa; Chordata; Mammalia; Diprotodontia; Phascolarctidae
Description: lncRNA (ENSPCIG00000006085.2)
Source: RNAcentral